AUUGAACGCUGGCGGCAUGCCUUACACAUGCAAGUCGAACGGUAACAGGUUAAGCUGACGAGUGGCGAACGGGUGAGUAAUACAUCGGAACGUGCCCAGUAGUGUGGGAUAGCCCGGCGAAAGCCGGAUUAAUACCGCAUACGACCUAAGGGUGAAAGGGGGGGGAUCGCAAGACCUCUCGCUAUUGGAGCGGCCGAUGUCAGAUUAGCUAGUUGGUGGGGUAAAAGCUCACCAAGGCGACGAUCUGUAGCUGGUCUGAGAGGACGACCAGCCACACUGGGACUGAGACACGGCCCAGACUCCUACGGGAGGCAGCAGUGGGGAAUUUUGGACAAUGGGCGCAAGCCUGAUCCAGCCAUGCCGCGUGCGGGAAGAAGGCCUUCGGGUUGUAAACCGCUUUUGUCAGGGAAGAAAUCCUUUGGGUUAAUACCUCGGGGGGAUGACGGUACCUGAAGAAUAAGCACCGGCUAACUACGUG
RNAcentral lists this ribosomal RNA (478 nucleotides) under uncultured bacterium. RNAcentral's name for it is "partial 16S ribosomal RNA". It matches the Rfam family "Bacterial small subunit ribosomal RNA", at positions 30 to 507 of the family's 1533-position model. The record is from RNAcentral.